CUCUCUUCCUCGUAUCUGGGGUGGAAGAUGUGAGCUCUCAGCUGGCUGUUCCAGCUGCUCUGCCUGCUGCCUGCUGCCUGAUGCCACACCAUCCCCACCAUCAUGACCUCUAACCCUCUGGAACCAGAGGGCCACAUAAACUUGUCUUCUGGUCAAACCCAGGGACUCUCCUUUGCUAGACCAGCACAGUCCCGCGUCUCUACAUCCCCUUCGUCAUUUUUACGUGUCGGGAAUUGUUCCUAUGGCAACUUAGGGCUCGAUUUCCAUCGAUAGCCAAGUGCACCUGGAAAAUGUGUCCCAGAUAGUUCUACGUCAACUCGACACAAGUGGGUCGUUUUGAAAGAGAGGAACUCCAGUUGAGAAGACACGCCCAUGGCUGCCCUGGAUGCAAAGGUUCUGCUUCAGUCCCUGCUUCCAGUGUCCGCCUCGAGUUCCUGUCUUCCCUGGGUGAUGGACGACAAGCUGUAAGACUGAAAUAAGCCUGUUCAUUUCUGAAAUGCCUUUGGCUUUGGUUUCGUUUAUCACGGCAACAGAAGCCCUACCUAAGACAGUACCCAUUCCUGAUUUAGGAUUGGAUUGUUACCUUGAUUUUUUUAAAGAGAUAUUUACUUAUUAGCAUGUAUGUGUGACAGAGAAGGUGAGGGAAGAGAAAGGGAGAAAUAGAGAGAGAAGGAAGUGGAGAGGAGGUGGGGUGUUCAUGUAGAUAUCAAAGGACAACUUCAUGCCGUUGGGUUCCAAGGAUUGAAUUUGAGACGUGUGUGGCACACUCCUUUACCUGCUGAACCAUCUUGCCACCCCCUUUGUUUUCUUCUCUAAGAACCUUGCUAUAUAGUCUAGACCAGCUUUGAAUUUCUAGUCCUGCUCGUGCCUUAGACUAUUGAGUGCCACCACACCAGGCUGAAAAGUUAUUCAUGCUGAAUUCACUUGUACAGAGGCUGAGGUUUUGCUUUUUAUUCAGUACUUUUUUGCUUGGGUUAUGUUCUGAGACAGGGUCUCAUGUAGCUCCCCUUCUAUGAGCAGCCAAGUCCGAUUCUUUCCCGAUCCCUUCUCCACUUCCCAAGUGUUGGGAUUACAGGCACCUGUCGCCACACUCUGCCUUCAAAAGCCAUACGGAAAGGGAAAGUUAGGAUUUGCCAAGCAACUGAUUGUCAGCCUAAGUUACAGCACCCUGAAAGUACUGGUUUCUGCGGCAUGUAGAGGAAAAAGAAAGUCUACAACCGUCCAAGGGCCCACCACUCGAUGGGCACAUGCUGGGGUCUCGGGGCAGAGAUCAAGCCAGAGGGAUGCAGGCUGGUCACCGGAUGGUUCUCACACAGUAGUGAAAGAGAUAGACAGACCCGAGGUAAGCAUUAAAGCAUGUCCCUGUGAAGGGGAAGUCGGGGAGAGACAAAAGAAACAAGAAGAUGAUGCAUUGAAUACGUAUUUCACAAUGAGGUCGAGGGAGAAUGUGGAACAGAGUCCGGGGAGCCGGAGAAAUUGACCAAAGACAGGACCCGCAAGGGGAGCAGGACACAGUGUGGCUGGGGUAGAGCAACCACGUGCAAAGAGGCAGACAGUCAUUGCCCAAGUGUCAGUGACUCAGGUCGCGCUGGAGGUCAGACGCCAGAGACCAUCAAAACCGUGGGGUGUGCGACAGGACUGUUGACUCUGAAGACCUAGCACACACACCAAGGGACUGCUGCCAAGGGGGGUCUUUGCUCCCUGACAGUGAUGGGCAAUGGCCAGACUCAGUUGUUGACACUUUUGGGUACAUCUUCGAACACUCAGUAAUUAGCACAAGAGAUCAUUUCCCUGUGUGCAGACUGCCUUCGCUCUGGCUACUGUAAUUUGGGAAAGACCAAACACAUGAAAAAUGCUGAGAAUUAAUUCCUAGUGAGCCGAUCAAUAGCCCCUCAUGGUUGUCAACACAGAACAGGACACUGGAUUCAGGGGAGCAUGCGCUGGAAAUCCGGGUAAACGACAAACCAGUCCUUUUCAUUUUUCGUUUCGUUUUUGUUUUUUUUUCCCCAGAAUUAAUGACCUUGCGUUGCAAUUUAGUUUUAAUUUUAUCUCAGAAACGAAAGAAUUUUGUAGUUAUUCUGUUUUCCCUCAGAAUAGAAAGUGAACCCACCCCCAACACACACUCCUGGUUCCAGAUUAGUCACCCCCUGGGGAAUGGCUCCUGAGCUGCCAGGAGGUAGGAGCUUCCAAGGAAAUAAGUAGAGCAGAAAGGGUUCUGGAGGAGCAUGCAUCACUCUGCAUCGGAGAUUCAAAGAAAGGAGCUCUGACUGUAGGGGGAAUAAAAGUAUGCUUCGGUUAAUGAUAGAAACGAGCGAACUCCAACCCUCCACCAUUGGAGACUUCCCUCACCUGGCGUGAGCCAGGACGCCAUCAGACCUCCAUCUGGACAUCUUAACCGGUGCUGCGGUUCUGAGUCUUAGGAAGUAUGUCCUUCCCUGCCUAGAAUCUGAGCCACUGUUUUAUCAAGGCCCAAGGCCGUAACUUACAACCAGGUUACAAUAAACAUUGGUCCUUUCAGGGACCUGUUUUUUGACCGGGUGGUUAGAAAAUUUUAUUUUCAUUCAGAUGUGGCCACAACAUUGGCAAUUAAAUGGCAUUCUAGAGGCAUUCUAAGGGAAUCACAUGAAGAAAAAUCUUAAUGACUUUCUUCCUCUGGUCUUCCAGUACUCGUCUGGCUUCCCCUUCACUGUGUAAGAUCAUACAGAUAACCACCCAUCCCUUGUGAAAAGGUAACUCCGGGUCACUGAUUGACAGAGUGAUUGCUCUUCAUUUCAAUCGUGAUUUUUUUUUCCCAGAAAAAGAAAGUUCUUUGGAUGGAAAAGGCUGAACCUCCCUUGGAAAAGGUUCUCUGAACUCAUUCUAUUUCAAAAAAAAAAACCCACAUCCCACCAAAAUAAGGACUGUUUGCAGUCACCCUCCCUCUCAACAUCUAAGAUCAGAAUAAUGAAAAGCUCUGUGCCUCCCUGACUGAAGGCUGACAUUCUGUCCUUCAUGGAUAAGUUACUAGUCAUAGAGGGAAGUGAAGAAAUAAUUUUCAGAGCUGCUAUUGAUCUGGUAUUGCAUUAACUGUCUGCUGAGCCAAGCUAUUUAUUGACUAAGUGCUUGCCGGCCACUUCAAUUAGCUUAGCUUUCCCCAGCAGAUCUGAGGGUGGGGCCAAGAAGACAACAGAAUGGCGUUCUCCAAACUGUCGUGGAGCUAUCUAUCAGUGUGACCCCGAAAGUCUUUCUUGUUUUCCAAUCGCAUUUUAAUGUUUGGAUUUGACUUUUAGUCUUAAUGGGAGGAUAUGAAACUUUCCCUUGAGACAAUCUGCUCAAACACAUGGUUCAUUGCUUCUUCCUUGUACAGAGUCAAAUACCUAUUUCAACUUGCAGAUCACACCCCACCUAGGAUUUCUUACAGAAAUUUCUCGGGCAUUGGAGCCAGGACCUUUUGUAACUAGGCAAAUACUCUACUACAGGUCCAUGUCUCCAGACCUUCUCAUUUCCCCUGUAGACAUUAACUUGAUUUUAAAAAUAGUUUCUUGGGAUCCACUCCUUUAUUUACAUUCACUCUUUGAGGCGAUUUAGAACACAUCAAGGACCCAUCCAUUUUUGCCGAAAUCCUAAGUGGAUAGUAUGGCAUAGUUCUGCAAACUGAGAAACCCAUGUCCCUAGCAUCACAGGACCCAAAGUGGAAUGUCACUUAUCUCUACAACAAAUGUAAUGUGGAUCAGUUUUGCUUAUCUUUGAUGUUCUUAUAAGUGGAAUAUUAUACUGUGUAAGCUUUUAUUUCCAACUUUGUUAAUAUCCAGUCAAGGACACAGUGUGGAGGUUAGGUAAAUGUGCAAUUAUAUCUGUACUGUAUGUAGAUAUAUGUGUGUGUGCAAAUAAUAUGUAAUACACACACACACAUAUAUAUAUAUAUAUAUAUAUAAUUAUAUAUAGCUGGUGUUUCACAGGUACUUGUAGAAACCAAAGCCCCAACUCUCAUCCUUUAUUAAGAGAGGCUCAGGCAAACCAAGCUACUACAGACAAUCCUGGACAGCAAGCUUUAAGUAGAAUCUGCAUCUGAAAUUGCUUCAGGAACACUUUCAAAAGUCUGCAUGAACCCCAGUCCAGCAGAAUAAUAGUAAACACGCUCAUGAUUUCAGGUUUGACACAAAUGCAUCCCUGCCUGUGGUAUUACAGUGACUCCCUCCUUUAGAAACUUUGCAAACAUUUUUCUAAGCUUCUUAAAUUCCCUGCAGCCUACAGCUACUAUAUAAAUAUUCAUGGUAUUUUUCCACAGCAAAAGAUUGCUUCCUUUCUUGGCUUCUCAUAAGCAAACCAGCGAGAGACUUUACUGCAGCAAGAUGCAAAACACAAUCAUAUUUUAUUUGAACAUCAAUUUUAAAAGCAACUCUUCGUAAUUUCUGGAACUGGUAAUCAGAGAGCAGAAUAUUAAUGAGACAACAUCGGAUACAUUAGCUUUUAUGGCAGGGAUUUGCUUCUCCUGAAAAUAAAAAUAACCUGGGCUAAAA
Molecule: long non-coding RNA, 4499 nt
Organism: Mesocricetus auratus (golden hamster)
Lineage: Eukaryota; Metazoa; Chordata; Mammalia; Rodentia; Cricetidae
Exons: 3
Source: RefSeq, a predicted model, not a curated record